RNAcentral lists this ribosomal RNA (253 nucleotides) under uncultured bacterium. Its description in RNAcentral is "partial 16S ribosomal RNA". It matches the Rfam family "Bacterial small subunit ribosomal RNA", at positions 524 to 776 of the family's 1533-position model. The record is from RNAcentral.
UACAGAGGUGGCAAGCGUUGUUCGGAAUUACUGGGCGUAAAGGGCGCGUAGGCGGCCUUCUAAGUCAGACGUGAAAUCCCCAGGCUUAACUUGGGAACUGCGUCUGAUACUGGGAGGCUUGAGUGCGGGAGAGGGAUGUGGAAUUCCAGGUGUAGCGGUGAAAUGCGUAGAGAUGCGGAGGAACACCGAUGGCGAAGGCAGCCCCCUGGGCCGACACUGACGCUCAGGCACGAAAGCGUGGGGAGCAAACAGG